This 202-nucleotide unclassified non-coding RNA is filed under the name Hevea brasiliensis (rubber tree). The record is from RNAcentral. Lineage: Eukaryota; Viridiplantae; Streptophyta; Magnoliopsida; Malpighiales; Euphorbiaceae.
AAUUCAAAGUCCAAUUCAUCUUCUACAUCCUAUGACCUUUUCCCAUAUGCCCUAGCUCUUAUGUGGGCUGAGUAGGGGCAGACUGAGACAUUUUGAGACCCAAUAUGCACCAUGUCUCCCUCCUGCAACGAAACAAAUACUAUGUUCAAAUUCAUAUAGAUUAGGCAACUAGUGCACUCUCCCCACCCUCUCCCACCAACAC